AACUCUCAAACCGCAUCUUUUAUCGGAUGUCGGGCUUGGACUUGGACGUUGCUGGGCCCCCCACGGGUUCGGCUCGUCUCAAAUGCAUUAGCUGACUCUCCCGACUUCAGUUUUCGGCGUGAUAAUCACAUCUACGUCGAUGCCGCGAGGCGCUGGACCGGGGAUCAAACGGCUUCCAACCGUCCGCAAGGACAAUCGAAUUUCAUCUCA
Molecule: unclassified non-coding RNA, 210 nt
Filed under: uncultured Tricholomataceae
Lineage: Eukaryota; Fungi; Basidiomycota; Agaricomycetes; Agaricales; Tricholomataceae
Description: sequence contains ITS2
Source: RNAcentral